GACGAACGCUGGCGGCGUGCUUAACACAUGCAAGUCGAACGGAAAGGCCCUGCUUUUGUGGGGUGCUCGAGUGGCGAAAGGGUGAGUAACACGUGAGUAACCUGCCCUUGACUUUGGGAUAACUUCAGGAAACUGGGGCUAAUACCGGAUAGGAGCUCCUGCUGCAUGGUGGGGGUUGGAAAGUUUCGGCGGUUGGGGAUGGACUCGCGGCUUAUCAGCUUGUUGGUGGGGUAGUGGCUUACCAAGGCUUUGACGGGUAGCCGGCCUGAGAGGGUGACCGGCCACAUUGGGACUGAGAGACGGCCCAGACUCCUACGGGACGCAGCAGUGGGGAAUAUUGCACAAUGGGCGGAAGCCUGAUGCAGCAACGCCGCGUGCGGGAUGACGGCCUUCGGGUUAUAAACCGCUUUCGCCUGUGACGAAGCGUGAGUGACGGUAAUGGGUAAAGAAGCACCGGCUAACUACGUG
Molecule: ribosomal RNA, 468 nt
Filed under: uncultured bacterium
Lineage: Bacteria
Description: partial 16S ribosomal RNA
Rfam family: Bacterial small subunit ribosomal RNA
Source: RNAcentral